AUGCAUGGAGAAAUGCUCAACUCCUGAUGCAUGGAGAAAAGGCCUUCACAAACCUCUGCUAAUGUGUACCUAGUUUAUACUAAGUGACCCAUAGGUUGAGGAGGCGGUGACCGUGGCGGAGGAGGAUGGUAGCCCCCAAAAUAUUGAGACAUAUAAAAAAAGACAACUCUGUUCUGCAGAGUAGCUGUUGCGCAGGAACUUUGUUAAAUCUAGAGAACCUCGGGCAAAUUGCACAUCCCCGUGGUGGCGACUUUGCAUGCGGAUGUCAUCCAUAUCAACUUUCAAUGCCAGCUUAUGUGCCUACCAUGGUGACCACGGGUAAUGGGGAAUCAGGGUUUAAUUUUGUACAGGGACCCUGAGAAACGGCUACCACAUGCAAGGAAGGCAGCA
This is a non-coding RNA of Pelobates cultripes (western spadefoot toad), 390 nucleotides long. The record is from the annotation of a GenBank genome assembly. NCBI's taxonomy places the organism in Eukaryota, Metazoa, Chordata, Amphibia, Anura, Pelobatidae.